AGAGUUUGAUCCUGGCUCAGGAUGAACGCUGGCGGCGUGCUUAACACAUGCAAGUCGAACGAAGCACUUUAUUUGAUUUCCUUCGGGACUGAUUAUUUUGUGACUGAGUGGCGGACGGGUGAGUAACGCGUGGGUAACCUGCCUUGUACAGGGGGAUAACAGUUGGAAACGGCUGCUAAUACCGCAUAAGCGCACGGCAUCGCAUGAUGCAGUGUGAAAAACUCCGGUGGUAUAAGAUGGACCCGCGUUGGAUUAGCUAGUUGGUGAGGUAACGGCCCACCAAGGCGACGAUCCAUAGCCGACCUGAGAGGGUGACCGGCCACAUUGGGACUGAGACACGGCCCAAACUCCUACGGGAGGCAGCAGUGGGGAAUAUUGCACAAUGGGCGAAAGCCUGAUGCAGCGACGCCGCGUGAGCGAAGAAGUAUUUCGGUAUGUAAAGCUCUAUCAGCAGGGAAGAUAAUGACGGUACCUGACUAAGAAGCACCGGCUAAAUACGUGCCAGCAGCCGCGGUAAUACGUAUGGUGCAAGCGUUGUCCGGAAUUACUGGGUGUAAAGGGAGCGCAGGCGGGAAGACAAGUUGGGAGUGAAAUCUAUGGGCUCAACCCAUAAACUGCUUUCAAAACUGUUUUUCUUGAGUAGUGCAGAGGUAGGCGGAAUUCCCGGUGUAGCGGUGGAAUGCGUAGAUAUCGGGAGGAACACCAGUGGCGAAGGCGGCCUACUGGGCACCAACUGACGCUGAGGCUCGAAAGUGUGGGUAGCAAACAGGAUUAGAUACCCUGGUAGUCCACACCGUAAACGAUGAUUACUAGGUGUUGGAGGGUUGACCCCUUCAGUGCCGCAGUUAACACAAUAAGUAAUCCACCUGGGGAGUACGACCGCAAGGUUGAAACUCAAAGGAAUUGACGGGGGCCCGCACAAGCAGUGGAGUAUGUGGUUUAAUUCGACGCAACGCGAAGAACCUUACCAAGUCUUGACAUCCUGCGACGCACAUAGAAAUAUGUGUUUCCUUCGGGACGCAGAGACAGGUGGUGCAUGGUUGUCGUCAGCUCGUGUCGUGAGAUGUUGGGUUAAGUCCCGCAACGAGCGCAACCCUUACUGUCAGUUACUACGCAAGAGGACUCUGGCAGGACUGCCGUUGACAAAACGGAGGAAGGUGGGGAUGACGUCAAAUCAUCAUGCCCUUUAUGACUUGGGCUACACACGUACUACAAUGGCGUUAAACAAAGAGAAGCAAGACCGCGAGGUGGAGCAAAACUCAGAAACAACGUCCCAGUUCGGACUGCAGGCUGCAACUCGCCUGCACGAAGUCGGAAUUGCUAGUAAUCGUGGAUCAGCAUGCCACGGUGAAUACGUUCCCGGGCCUUGUACACACCGCCCGUCA
This 1385-nucleotide ribosomal RNA is filed under the name uncultured bacterium. Its description in RNAcentral is "bacterial SSU rRNA". It matches the Rfam family "Bacterial small subunit ribosomal RNA". The record is from RNAcentral.